AUUGAACGCUGGCGGCAUGCCUUACACAUGCAAGUCGAACGGCAGCACGGGUGCUUGCACCUGGUGGCGAGUGGCGAACGGGUGAGUAAUACAUCGGAACAUGUCCUGUAGUGGGGGAUAGCCCGGCGAAAGCCGGAUUAAUACCGCAUACGAUCUACGGAUGAAAGCGGGGGACCUUCGGGCCUCGCGCUAUAGGGUUGGCCGAUGGCUGAUUAGCUAGUUGGUGGGGUAAAGGCCUACCAAGGCGACGAUCAGUAGCUGGUCUGAGAGGACGACCAGCCACACUGGGACUGAGACACGGCCCAGACUCCUACGGGAGGCAGCAGUGGGGAAUUUUGGACAAUGGGCGAAAGUCUGAUCCAGCAAUGCCGCGUGUGUGAAGAAGGCCUUCGGGUUGUAAAGCACUUUUGUCCGGAAAGAAAUCCUUGGCCCUAAUACGGUCGGGGGAUGACGGUACCGGAAGAAUAAGCACCGGCUAACUACGUG
RNAcentral lists this ribosomal RNA (486 nucleotides) under uncultured bacterium. Its description in RNAcentral is "partial 16S ribosomal RNA". It matches the Rfam family "Bacterial small subunit ribosomal RNA", at positions 30 to 507 of the family's 1533-position model. The record is from RNAcentral.